RNAcentral lists this ribosomal RNA (336 nucleotides) under Triticum aestivum (bread wheat). RNAcentral's name for it is "partial small subunit ribosomal RNA". Lineage: Eukaryota; Viridiplantae; Streptophyta; Magnoliopsida; Poales; Poaceae. The record is from RNAcentral.
AUGUGUUUAGUUAGUUUGAUAAUUGUAUUAGUUCACUCCUUAAGUUUGCUGGAGUCUCUUGAUUUUCCUUUCAGAACAUUCUUAUGGCUAAUGCAUUUACUGUUUUCUCUCUGGUGUCUUUUCCUUCCCAAUGUUUUUUUAUCGAUGUUUUGCCUGAAAAUAGUCCCUUGGUUAAGGUUCUCAGUCUUGGUUUAUUUGAAAGAUUUAUCAUGUUGGGAAUUGAUUAACUUGGCCCUGUCACAGGGAUCUAAACUGACUGAUGUUGAUGCUGAUGCUUCUGCCACUGCACCUGCUGAGACCGUGGACACUACGGUUGCUGAGACAACUAAGCUUUAG